CCCGCCCGGGACUAACUGGGCCAAAGCCCAACUAACAGAGGCGAGCAUCUGCCAUAGGGUUUGCCGCCGCCGCCCUUCUCGUCGUCCUUCCGUCAAUCCCUAGAUUCGUCGCCAACUCCCCCUCACCUGCCAGGCGAGGAUCCCGCAGCGCACCCCAAGCUAUCGUAACGCCCCGCUCGAGACAAAGCCAGAGAAGGACGGGCGGAGCCGCAACCUCCUCCCUUGUCUCUGGAUGCCUGCACCGUGUGAGGCCCUCGAUCCAUUGACGAGCUCCCCUUUGUGGCCGGCCCGUGGGGAGGAGACCGCAAGCCUCGAGAUGGAGGCGGAAUCUGGCGACAGUCCGCCAGCGGUGUUUCAUGGACACCGGCGGUAAAUUCCUACCUUUAGGAUGGGAUCGCGUCGCCCUGCUGUGAUGGUGACGGGUGGGAUGACUUUUCAGGACAAAUUUAUCGAUCCGUCUACCUCCCCUGGUCGAUGGAUGCCGCUAGCUCCAGAUGAAGAUUGAGGAGGAGCUGAUUUGCUUGUUCAGCAGGGACGAGUUAUUAGCAGACGUGAGCUAGCAUGGACGUGAUCAGGACACGUAUUUUUACACAGCUUGAUUCAUGAGUAGACUAUUGCUGCGCUGAUUAACGACCUGGGGAGGAGGUUUGAUCUUCUUCUGAUGCUCUGUUGCUGCGAUUUUGGCAGAAAGAUCAGAAAAGGAAAAGUUAAACUGCUACACAUUAUCACUUGAGCAACAUUAUUUACCAGUAUUAUUUAGUUAACAAGGAAAUUAGCUGGUGAUCAAUCGUGAGAGGAAAUUGUAGGUGAGCAUUUGAAUCAUCUCCAUGCUAUGCUACUAGCACGUACGUCUGCCUGUAUUCUGUAGUGUUCUUCCAAUUGUACAUCGUAAUAUUGUCUUGGUGCUGUACUUUGUUAGUUUUGAUUCAGUUUUUACUAUAUUGGGAAAUACAAAUUUUAAUUGGUUUCAUCGAAAUAUCACAUAAUCCCUAUUCUCCCCACCUUCGUACGUCAAAACAUUUGGUCGUUCUUGUCGUACUUCCGUUUCCCACGCGCCCAAAUGGGCCAAGCCCAACAACCCCAACUUCUCCUCCUCCCUUCCGCCGCCGCCGUUGCCGCGGAGCAAAUCCUGUGGGUUGGGAGCAUGGCGCCCUGGACAUGUCGCUGGACGACCUCAUCACCAAGAACAAGCCCUCGCGUGGCCACGGACGCCGCAACCUGGCCUCCGCCUCGGGAGGACCCGCGCCCGCGCGCCGCCGCUUCCACAGCCCCGCCGCCAACCGCUCCGCCGCGGCACCCUACCGCCAGCUCAACUUCCAGCCACAGCAGGUGCCGCUGGCUUCCGGGAACAUUGCCCAGCCGAUGGCCAUGGUCACGGCGCCGUCCACUGACUUGGACAUCACGCCCACCAAUCUCUACAUCUCCAACCUCGACUACAACGUCUCCAACGAGGACAUCAAGGAUCUGUUUUAUGACAAAAGUGGAAGAUCAAAGGGAACUGCAGAGGUUGUCUUUUCGACAAAAGUAGAAGCUUUAGCUGCUCUUAAGAAAAUUGAGGCAUUGGGAUAAACAUUGAGGCACCAGCACCUGCUAUUUUCGCUUUUGCUCCACCUCCACUACCUGGAAACUUCAGUUUUCUUCUCACAAGGAUCUCAUGCACAGAGAAUAUAUCAACUGAAGGACUUGUUGUGGAGAUUAUGUCAAAUAGAUCGAAUUAAGUGUCAGCUCUAUGAACAGCAAUACAAGAUACAAUACUACCUAGAGGUUGCUCGCAUUGUCCAUGAUGACCACCCUACAUAGAGAAGUUGGAAACUUGGAAUCACCAAUCAACUUUGCAGCACACGAAAACUAUUACUCAGUUCAUUAUGUGGAUGCCAAAGGAUCAGGAAGGAGCGUGUUAUUAAAACAUCGAGCAGUGACUUUCAUCAUCAAGGCUGCAAUUCUGAAGGCACUCAACUCAAAAUGGCAGGGGGGAGGAAUGUGUGGAGGACAUUGAGGGACUGGCAGGUGGCUUUAUACGCGUUCAUAAUUUUGGUGACGAUCAAGGUGAUGCCCUUGUAUGUUUACGUGAUUGACCUCCACAUGUGAGAGGAUCAAAAUUUCACGUAAUAUCAUAAAGGCUAGGCUCACAAUAGGUAAGCUUUUAAUUAUUCUUUUGUGAUGUUUCUUUCAUGUUCAAUGUAGAUAUUUGGUGCCUAUGUUUUCAAAGGUCGGACUAUUAAUAUUUUUCAAUGAUGGUGCAUGCCUGCCAAGUUUAGUUUAAGCAAGUAAAUGUAUGCUUGAAUAUUGACAGUGCAAUGGUUGAUUAUUUACCAACUCAAUUUCUAUUUUUCACCAUGUCGGGAUUUUGUGACAGCGCAUAGGCAUUUGUGUAUGUUCCUGUGGAAAAACCAGAUGACAGCAAUGAGAUACAGUUGAGUUCUAAUUGCUAGAAAAACGACAGGUUGAUUGACAGGCUAAUUUGAAAAACAGAAGUUUCUUCUAUCAAUUCUAAUUUGCUAAUUUUUAUAGUAGUUAAGUAGAUCAUUACUGUGAUACCAGCUCUAUCUAUUUCCGUUUUUACAAAUGGAAUGGAAGUCAUUGAGUUUCCAUACUGGUAAGUUAUGGCUCGAUGGUAGUCCCCUCCUAAUGGCUUAUUGGAAUAUAAAAUAUCUUUGGGGCUCUGAGCUAGCUCACUAUCGAGUAAAGCUAAUAACAUUAACCUUGGAUAAAUAUGAUUAACUGAUAUUUUUCUCGACACGGUAAUAUGAGAGUACCAUAGUCAUCAGCCACCAUUAUGGGCUUCACUCUUUUAUUUUGUGAACUCUGCAGACUGUCAGUUAUAUUGCAAGGUAGCGAGGAUACAAGCUAUGGUUGUAGUCACAAAAUGAAUGAUCAUGGUUAAGAGGUUAGUUUGUAGUGUGGACAAAACUCUAUUAUACUGUUAUUUUCAUGGUGGAUAACGCACCAUCUAGAUCUAGAGCAGCUGGUCAAGGAAGCCACAGAGCUGGGAGUUUAAGAAGUUGAGAAGACUUUCGGUUAUUGAAAAAAUGAUUACUCUCAUAUUCAUAUUGUCAUAAUUAAAAAUGAUUACUCCCAUAUGCAUAUUUUCAUAAUAACCAGUUUUAUGUUAAAAAUAGUCUGCUCGGGCCCAUGGCAAUCAAUCUGCAUUCUGCAAUAGAAUUUGAUGGUGUCUGGUUUUUUGCCUUUUCCCUUCAAACGACUUAGACCCUAGAAUGUGACAAUAUCCAAUGGUAUAUCUUUUUACUAUUUUUGUAGUUAAUAUAUCUUUUUUGCCUUUUUAUUUUGAACCCUGCUUGCCUCCCAUUGUAAUUUGUAGCAUGAAGGAUGAGAUUGACCAGCACUACCUAAGCAACAUUAUUGUUAUGAUAUAUACGGUUGCAAAUGACAACUUUAUAGCGGAUAAUCUGCACCGAAGAGGGUGCUGAAACUGUGGAUCCUGUCAGCUAUGUCACGUUGUUAUUGCGGGUCCUGCUAUGUCAGCAUCCCGCGAAAGACAGACAAGAAGACCUAGGACUUGAAACUAUAGAGAUGAACAACAAUGUUAUCUUAUUGCGUUCGGAAUUAUUAUGUUGUAGUACAUUAUGAUAUCUCUGAUUUGUUUUAAUUUUUUAUAGUACGUUCUGAAUUA
This is a non-coding RNA of Lolium perenne, 3631 nucleotides long. Lineage: Eukaryota; Viridiplantae; Streptophyta; Magnoliopsida; Poales; Poaceae. The record is from RefSeq and is a predicted model, not a curated record.